GCUCGGCCGCUCCCGGGAGAGCGGGCCGCAGCGCCCCCUGCUGGCCGGAGCCCCGCGGCGCGACCAGCGGCCGCGAGCGUCCUCCGCGAGGCCCCCAGCCGAGAGGCCCCCGGGGACCGGACGCGCUCGCUGCGCCGCGGAGGAUGCGGAUCUGGCUGCGGCUCCGCUGUGCUGCUCCCCGUUGGUACCUGCCGCGAAGAAGGCGUCGCUCUAAGAGCUGUCCGCCGGCUCUGGGAACCCUGCUCAGACGUGGACGCUUAAACUGAGGCUGAACUCUAGCCUCAAGCCCCGUCUUGUGUAAAACCAAGUUGGCAAAAUAGAAAGAAAAACGGUCAAAGUUUUGGUCACCAGGAACCGAAUACCGUCGACUUAGGCCAUCGACUCUGCAAACCUGUGUUGUAGGCCUCCAGGCAACCCCAGGACCUCCGGUCGCUGAUUCCUUCCUUUGUGAAAAUAGAGUUGCUCUGCCUUAAUCUGCACCUGUCUCAGGAGCUCAUAAACCCUUUCCGAGUCUUUAAUCUUUUAAAACUAUUUUCCUUCUGAAACUCUAUGAAGUCAGGCUGGACUUGAACUCAUAAUCCCCCUGCCUUUGCUGGUGAUGGGAGUCUACCACCAGCCAGCCAUCUAUCUUGUCAGGUUUAAAUACGAAGUAUUUCAGAAACAGGGGCAAAGGAAGAUUUACACAGAAGACUUUCCAUCUCUGGUCCAUCAAGAGGACAUAACUAUAAGAGUCAAAAGACAUAGAGGGCUGGGGGUGUAGCUCGUUUGUUAGAGCGCUUGCUAGCACGAAAACCUGGAUUUUAUUCCCAGCACUGCACCUAUAAUCACAGCAUUUGGGAGGUAAAGACAGGAGGAUCACAAGUCCAAGGUCAUCUUCAGCGGCAUGGAGAACUGAAGACCAGCCUAGAACGUGUGAGACCACGGCUCAAACAGCCCCGAAAUCAGAGGGAGAGCUCUGGCACCAAAACCUGCUGUGCCUCAGUGAAGGCAAAGUCUAAGUGAACUCCCGUGAAGCUGUUUAUAGUCUACAUAGAUGUCACUUCAUGUCCGUCCAUCUUUUCAUAUUACUCUGAGACUUCAUAUAAGGCCGCAACAUUCACGAUUACAGACGUGUGUGUAUUUUUAAAAGAUAGGUUCAAUGAGAGCCCUAGCAGUGUCAAUAUCUGAGGGCUAGUACCUGGAAUAACCUCACUUCAGAACCAGAGACUUGUCUGCUGGACCCCUCACAGCCACACCUCUGGAAGCUGUUGACUUGAGAGAGUAACCAGGUGAUGUCUAAUCUCUACCAGCUGUUUUCAGCACGAAUCCAGUUUUCCAGGAAAUGAAUCAUGGAAGACUGUGUGUAGCUCAGUGGUAGAGCACGGGCCUGGAAUCCAUGAAGCUCCAGGUUUCAUCUGCAGCACUAGAUGGAGGUUGCAACACAUUCAUCCUGUCUUCAAUUCCAGAAGUGCUGGCUUGGCUUUACACUAGGUGAAAUGACUCCCAAGGCCUGGACACACAGCUCCUUGGUUUAGCCACAGAGUGCAGAAGAAAUGGCUUCUGUCCAAUGGAGAUUUACUGCUUUGAAGGUAUAUUUAAGCUUUACAACUGCUCUGUACAGAGGUGUUGGUAUUUUUACUUUAGGAUUAAGCGUCCAGAUCUUGGAGAAGUAAGCCUAAGGUACGCACUAAGUGGUAAAGCUGGGGCUUUACCCACCGCUUUGGGGGGCUGAGUAAUGGCGUUUAAUGGAGGCAGCCGCUUCUCUGCGCUCACUUGCCAGGGAAAAAGAACUACUUGUUAACAAAAUUUUGGAAAGAAUAAAACAAAACAAAACAAAAAAACAACAAACAACAACAAAAUUCCCUACACUAACCUUCAAACUUGCAAGAUUUAAUUUACUUUGUAACAGGUAUAGACAUACAUAAUUUAUAUAUCUUAAAACAAUACUAAUCACAAAUUAGCACUGUGAGUUAUUAUACUUAAAAUAGUAAACAUUAGUUCAAUAGUAUAGUAUCCCAUUGGAAUAUAGCUUCUCCCAGAAGCAUAUAAUGAAUUAAAUUCUGCUCUAGGGCACAUUUGAAAUUUUUUCUUCCAGUGUGCCAAAGUGACAACUGAAACUACUAUGACAGAGAGCUGAGUGAGGCCUUCCUUAAAAAAUAAAAAGCAAACAAAUAAACACUAAAAGCAGGGAAGAGACUGCAAUUAGAAUGAAAGUAUGGAAAUCUUUAUGACUUGCACGGCUCUAACUGCACUGCUAAGGCCCAGAGAGAACCCCAUGUUCAGGAUGUUUAGCUGAGCCUGUGUAGCCCAUCUUGGCUUUGGACUUCCUCAUAUUUUUUUUUGUUUGUUUGUUUUCAUUCUUUAAUCAUGGGGACAGUUUAAAAAGACUAUAUUUACUGUCACAGUGUUGUAACCUGCUUAAUGUACUUAAGCUCCAUAGCCCCUCAGAAGAGACCUACUUUAGUUCUUAGUGUAACUGUGGCUCCUAUGUUAUCACCUGCUCUUUCCUAUCUUGCAUAUCAGAAGCCAUUUGCCUCCAAGUCUCCAUUUUGAUUAUAAGGUGAAAUUAAGUUCAAAAUCUCAUACCCUACAAUUCAAUAGUUCAAAAUUUGCUGCUUAGAAUAAAACAAUAGAUUAUAAAUGCAUGUCCUGCUUGAAUUAAAUGUAUAUUCCGUUAGAGCAAGAUUGAAACAUCCAGCUAUGUUCCUUACUCCCAGAAAGCUGGAAAUCCCCCAAGAGCUCCUCUACCCUGAAUCUCAGUCAACCAGUUUAAAAUGCUUUAUCAAGCUACCUAACACAAUACAAUACAUUUGGAACAAAAUCAAUUAUGUUUAGCUAGUCAAAAUGGUAUAAAAUGCUGCUUGCCCCUCCUUGCUUCCUACACUUGUUGUUACAGUUUUUUUGUAUAAAAGGCCUGCCUUAAAAGACCUACAACUAAUAAAUGGGACCUCCUGAAACUGAAAAACUUCUGUAAAGCAAAGGACACUGUCAACAGAAUAAAAUGGCAGCCUCAGACUGGGAAAAGAUCUUUACCAACCCUACAUCAGAUAGAGGGCUAAAUAUCCAGAAUAUAUAAAGAACUUAAGAAAUUAGACACCAACAAACCAAAUAUUAAAAUUUAAAAAUGGGGUACGAGCUAAGCACAGAAUUCUCAACAGAGGAAUAUCGAAUGGCAGAGAAACACUUAAAGAAAAGUUCAAAAUCCUUAGUUAUCAGGGAAAUGAAAAUCAAAACAACUCUUAAGAGUACAUCUGACACCAGUCAGAACGGCUAAGAUUAAAAAAAAACAAAAAAACAAAAAACAAAACUCAAGUGACAACACAUGCUGGAAAGCACAAGAAGAAAGGGGAACCCUCCUCCAUUGCUGGUGGGAGUGCAAACUUGUACAACCACUAUGGAAAUCAAUCUGGUGCUUUCUCAAAAAAUUGCAAAUAGCACUGAGGAGAGCUGCUUGUUUGUCAAGCUGCUUUGUUAUUGAGUAUUCAGCAAAAAAUGUUUUCACCCUGGCCUUCACCCCGAGACAGAGAUAAGCAGGAUAUUUCACCAAAUUCUUUAAACUUGUUUGUGUGACCUUGGACCAUAUGUGCUAUAGGGAAGUGGUUUAAGAAACAAGUUUGGUAAUUCCAUGAACUUCUUUCUUGUAUUGAAGUGAAUUGUUCUUACUUUGCUUAUAACAAGGAAUUGUGGAAUAAACUCGAGGCUGCAGUUCUUACUGACAGUCCUCU
Molecule: long non-coding RNA, 3704 nt
Organism: Meriones unguiculatus (Mongolian gerbil)
Lineage: Eukaryota; Metazoa; Chordata; Mammalia; Rodentia; Muridae
Exons: 5
Source: RefSeq, a predicted model, not a curated record